UGGUGUUCAAAGAAGGUUCGGAGAAGACAUGAAAAAUAAAGAAAGAAAGAAAGAAAGAAGGAAGGAAAGAAAGAGAAAAAGGUAUUGAAAAAAAGAAAAAGAAAUAAUAGGGAAAGAAAGAAAGAAAUAAAGGAGAAGUUUUUACUGUCACGAAGAUCAAGAAAAGUGCAAAGAAAGAUGAUCUUGUUUACGGAACCGAUUUUCAUUCCAACCAUGUGCAAUAUGAUGACAAGGACAUCACUUGUGCCUCAGAGUCACUAUUUUAUUUGCCUUUGCACAUGUCCACCAUUCUAUAUCUUCU
This 301-nucleotide long non-coding RNA is filed under the name Setaria viridis. Its description in RNAcentral is "long non-coding RNA (SVIR_LNC009536)". The record is from RNAcentral. Lineage: Eukaryota; Viridiplantae; Streptophyta; Magnoliopsida; Poales; Poaceae.